RNAcentral lists this ribosomal RNA (301 nucleotides) under uncultured bacterium. RNAcentral's name for it is "partial 16S ribosomal RNA". It matches the Rfam family "Bacterial small subunit ribosomal RNA", at positions 509 to 807 of the family's 1533-position model. The record is from RNAcentral.
CAGCAGCCACGGUAAUACGUGGGUGGCAAGCGUUGUCCGGAAUUAUUGGGCGUAAAGGGCUCGCAGGCGGUUUCUUAAGUCUGAUGUGAAAGCCCCCGGCUCAACUGGGGAGGGUCAUUGGAAACUGGGAAACUUGAGUGCAGAAGAGGAGAGUGGAAUUCCACGUGUAGCGGUGAAAUGCGUAGAGAUGUGGAGGAACACCAGUGGCGAAGGCGACUCUCUGGUCUGUAACUGACGCUGAGGAGCGAAAGCGUGGGGAGCGAACAGGAUUAGAUACCCGCGUAGUCCCUGUCUCUUAUAC